UACGAAGGGGGCUAGCGUUGUUCGGAAUCACUGGGCGUAAAGCGCACGUAGGCGGCUUUUUAAGUCGGGGGUGAAAUCCUGGAGCUCAACUCCAGAACUGCCUUUGAUACUGAGAAGCUAGAGUCCGGAAGAGGAGAGUGGAAUUCCUGGUGUAGCGGUGAAAUGCGCAGAUAUCAGGAAGAACACCAAUGGCGAAAGCAGCUCUCUGGGACGGUACUGACGCUGAGACGCGAAAGCGUGGGGAGCGAACAGG
This 253-nucleotide ribosomal RNA is filed under the name uncultured bacterium. RNAcentral's name for it is "partial 16S ribosomal RNA". It matches the Rfam family "Bacterial small subunit ribosomal RNA", at positions 524 to 776 of the family's 1533-position model. The record is from RNAcentral.